RNAcentral lists this ribosomal RNA (253 nucleotides) under uncultured bacterium. RNAcentral describes it as "partial 16S ribosomal RNA". It matches the Rfam family "Bacterial small subunit ribosomal RNA", at positions 524 to 776 of the family's 1533-position model. The record is from RNAcentral.
GACGUAGGGCGCGAGCGUUGUCCGGAAUCAUUGGGCGUAAAGAGCGCGUAGGCGGUCCGGUAAGUCCGCUGUGAAAGUCAAGGGCUCAACCCUUGAAUGCCGGUGGAUACUGUCGGGCUAGAGUCCGGAAGAGGCGAGUGGAAUUCCUGGUGUAGCGGUGAAAUGCGCAGAUAUCAGGAGGAACACCGAUGGCGAAGGCAGCUCGCUGGGACGGUACUGACGCUGAGGCGCGAAAGCGUGGGGAGCAAACAGG